This 253-nucleotide ribosomal RNA is filed under the name uncultured bacterium. Its description in RNAcentral is "partial 16S ribosomal RNA". It matches the Rfam family "Bacterial small subunit ribosomal RNA", at positions 524 to 776 of the family's 1533-position model. The record is from RNAcentral.
UACGGGGGGGGCAAGCGUUGUUCGGAAUUACUGGGCGUAAAGGGCUCGUAGGUGGCCAACUAAGUCAGACGUGAAAUCCCUCGGCUUAACCGGGGAACUGCGUCUGAUACUGGAUGGCUUGAGUUCGGGAGAGGGAUGCGGAAUUCCAGGUGUAGCGGUGAAAUGCGUAGAUAUCUGGAGGAACACCGGUGGCGAAGGCGGCAUCCUGGACCGAUACUGACACUGAGGAGCGAAAGCCAGGGGAGCAAACAGG